CCUUCUAUAACUAUCAAGGUUUCGGUUUCUCAAGACCAAGUCCAAGUCUCAAAAUCUCCAUGAGCCAGAUCUCAGAGUUGAAGAUGACAAGAGUGUCUUUAAGAUUCUUUUUAUGUUGUUUAACUAUAUCAAAAGUGCCUAUCACAUGAAAUAACAUGAACUACGAAAUCCAAUAACUUUGUAUUAAGAAAUUUAUUGAAUAUGUACAAAUAUUAAGUUCACAAACACCCCCCUUACCCCCCCCCCCCCCCCCCCAAACACCACCAAGUCACCACGCACACAGAAAGACAGCCAUCUCCUCUGGGAUGCUAAAUUCUCAGAGUUCAGAGAGUUUCUACAGGUCAAAGCCUUCUAUAACUAUCAAGGUUUCGGUUUCUCAAGACCAAGUCCAAGUCUCAAAAUCUCCAUGAGCCAGAUCUCAGAGUUGAAGAUGAACAAGAGUGUCUUUAAGAUUCUUUUGAUGUUGUUUAACUAUAUCAAAAGUGCCUAUCACAUGAAAUAACAUGAACUACGAGGCUAUUUAAAAGGAUUCACAGUGAUAGUCCUUUACAACUCCUUUUUCCCAGUGCUUCUAUUCAUAUUUCCCCACAACCACAGCAUCUGAAUAGUUGGUUACUCUUUAAUCUGCCAACACAAUGCCCCACAACCAAAUUGGCUCUGCAUCACAAAGGUCACGAUCUUGAUACUUUAAGCUUGUAUCAACGAGUAGACAUGAUAGUAGAAGCCUAAAAGUCCAUAUAGACAUUACCUUGAACUGCUUCACAUCA
This 767-nucleotide long non-coding RNA is filed under the name Solanum tuberosum (potato). Its description in RNAcentral is "long non-coding RNA (STUB_LNC006831)". The record is from RNAcentral. Lineage: Eukaryota; Viridiplantae; Streptophyta; Magnoliopsida; Solanales; Solanaceae.